Molecule: transfer RNA, 77 nt
Filed under: Paraglaciecola hydrolytica
Lineage: Bacteria; Pseudomonadati; Pseudomonadota; Gammaproteobacteria; Alteromonadales; Alteromonadaceae
Also listed under: 3 other names
Description: tRNA-Arg
Rfam family: tRNA
About the family: Transfer RNA (tRNA) molecules are approximately 80 nucleotides in length.
Source: RNAcentral
GCGUUCGUAGCUCAGCUGGAUAGAGCAACGGCCUUCUAAGCCGUGGGUCGCAGGUUCGAGUCCUGCCGAGCGCGCCA